AGAGUUUGAUCCUGGCUCAGGACGAACGCUGGCGGCGUGCUUAACACAUGCAAGUCGAACGGAAAGGCCCUUUCGGGGGUACUCGAGUGGCGAACGGGUGAGUAACACGUGGGUGAUCUGCCCUGCACUUCGGGAUAAGCUUGGGAAACUGGGUCUAAUACCGGAUAGGACUACGGCCUGCAUGGGUUGUGGUGGAAAGCUUUUGCGGUGUGGGAUGGGCCCGCGGCCUAUCAGCUUGUUGGUGGGGUGAUGGCCUACCAAGGCGACGACGGGUAGCCGGCCUGAGAGGGUGUCCGGCCACACUGGGACUGAGAUACGGCCCAGACUCCUACGGGAGGCAGCAGUGGGGAAUAUUGCACAAUGGGCGCAAGCCUGAUGCAGCGACGCCGCGUGGGGGAUGACGGCCUUCGGGUUGUAAACCUCUUUC
Molecule: ribosomal RNA, 427 nt
Filed under: uncultured bacterium
Lineage: Bacteria
Description: bacterial SSU rRNA
Rfam family: Bacterial small subunit ribosomal RNA
Source: RNAcentral